AUCAACUUUCGAUGGUAGGAUAGAGGCCUACCAUGGUGGUAACGGGUAACGGGGUGUUAGGGCACGACACCGGAGAGGGAGCCUGAGAAACGGCUACCACAUCCAAGGAUGGCAGCAGGCGCGCAAAUUACCCAAUCCCGACACGGGGAGGUAGUGACAAUAAAUAACAAUACGGGGUCCUUUCGGGUUUCGUAAUUGGAAUGAGUACAAUUUAAAUCUCUUAACGAGGAACAAUUGGAGGGCAAGUCUGGUGCCAGCAGCCGCGGUAAUUCCAGCUCCAAUAGCGUAUAUUAAAGUUGUUGCAGUUAAAAAGCUCGUAGUUGAAUUUCGGGAUUAGUACGCUGGUCGUGCCUUCGGUAUGUACUGGUGUUACUGAUUCCUACCUUCUGACGAACCGUCAUGUCAUUAAUUUGGUGUGGCGGGGAAUCAGGACUGUUACUUUGAAAAAAUUAGAGUGUUUAAAGCAGGCUCGCGCUUGAAUACAUUAGCAUGGAAUAAUGAAAUAGGACGUUCGAUCCUAUUUUGUUGGUUUCUAGGAUUGACGUAAUGAUUAAUAGGGAUAGUUGGGGGCAUUAGUAUUCAAUUGUCAGAGGUGAAAUUCUUGGAUUUAUUGAAGACUAACUACUGCGAAAGCAUUUGCCAAGGAUGUUUUCAUUAAUCAAGAACGAAAGUUAGGGGAUCGAAGACGAUCAGAUACCGUCGUAGUCUUAACCAUAAACUAUGCCGACUAGGGAUCGGAUGAUGUUAUUUUUAAUGACUCAUUCGGCGCCUUACGGGAAACCAAAGUGUUUGGGUUC
RNAcentral lists this ribosomal RNA (797 nucleotides) under uncultured Glomeromycotina. RNAcentral describes it as "SSU rRNA". It matches the Rfam family "Eukaryotic small subunit ribosomal RNA", at positions 314 to 1114 of the family's 1831-position model. The record is from RNAcentral. Lineage: Eukaryota; Fungi; Glomeromycota.